Long non-coding RNA from Peromyscus eremicus (cactus mouse), 876 nucleotides. RefSeq lists it as uncharacterized. The transcript has 2 exons. The record is from RefSeq and is a predicted model, not a curated record. NCBI's taxonomy places the organism in Eukaryota, Metazoa, Chordata, Mammalia, Rodentia, Cricetidae.
UAACCACAAGGUCUAGCCACCAUCUUGGCUGAGGUCAAAACAGGCAGGUCAUAUGACCUCAAUGCCAUCUUUACAAAAGGCAGCUUGGGCAGGGCACCCAGUGCUCAGGCCAUUGGUAUGGAAGGAGGUUAGGGAAUUGCCUCCCAUCACUCAUUGUUUCACCAUUGUUUUAUGGGCUGAGGAAAAGUCCUCCGGCCCUGGCCUGGUGCUCCCCAGUUGCCUCUCUCAGGCUCUAGAUGUCUGGGCAGAGGAAAUUUCAGUUGCAGCCUGGGCAGCCAUUCAUUCGGCAACCUCAAGGAACAGAUGCCUGAGAUCUCCACGCCAGAGAUUUCCAUGAUGACAGCUAACAAUGCUUCUUCACUCCUGCCUCCAGCCAUGUGUGACUCCCAGCAUACCCCCUCCCCACUUCACCCCUUGUCAGCUUGAAGUAGCCUCGAGAAUUCAACGCCCUUGUUCCCCCACUUGCUCCCAUAACUCACCCCUCUUUAUGAUAAUUCAAAACAGAGAAAUGUUAAUAUUUUGACCUGCCCCUUGGUGUCGCCCUGUGUCCUGACAUAAAGGUCUCUCUUUAAGGAAAAAUUCCACCCCUUCCUUGCGCUUUCCUUCCUCUUCCUCCCACGAGGUGUGCACCCCUCUUUCUUUCUCUCCCUUCCUCUCUCUCUCUCUCUCUCCCCCACCCUCUGUUUCUCUGCCUCUUUAUCUCUCUAUUGUAAUAAACGCUCCACAUGGAUGCAGCAUCUGGGUUGUGUGUUAUCGGCUGCCACCACCACCACCACCAUCACUGCAUCUGUCCAGCAUGUUUCCCUGCACUCUCAGAUACCCUAGCCCCCACCCCCAGCCCAUGUAAUAAAUCAUAACAGCUGGUAAUUGUGAAAA